RNAcentral lists this ribosomal RNA (1598 nucleotides) under Hemicriconemoides pseudobrachyurus. RNAcentral describes it as "SSU rRNA". It matches the Rfam family "Eukaryotic small subunit ribosomal RNA". Lineage: Eukaryota; Metazoa; Nematoda; Chromadorea; Rhabditida; Criconematidae. The record is from RNAcentral.
GGUAAUUCUGGAGCUAAUACGUGCACCGAAGCUGUCCCUCGCGGGGCAGUGCAUUUGUUGGAGCAAAACCAGGCGGCUUCGGCCGUUUUUGCUGACUCAGAACAACUUAGCUGAUCGCAUGGGCUUGUCCCGGCGACGUACCGUCCGAGUGUCUGCCUUAUCAACUUUCGAUGGUAGUGUACGUGACUACCAUGGUUGUGACGGGUAACGGAGGAUAAGGGUUCGACUCCGGAGAAGGGGCCUGAGUAAUGGCCACUACGUCUAAGGAUGGCAGCAGGCGCGCAAAUUACCCACUCUCGGUUCGAGGAGGUAGUGACGAAAAAUAACAAGGCUGUUCUCUACGAGGCCAGCCAUUGGAAUGGGUACAACGCAAACCCUUUAACGAGUAUCAAUGAGAGGGCAAGUCUGGUGCCAGCGGCCGCGGUAAUUCCAGCUCUCAAAAUGCAUAGAACCAUUGCUGCGGUUAAAAAGCUCGUAGUUGGAUCUGUGCCGGCGACGUGGUCCACCCUAACGGGCGGUACUGCGCUCGUCGGCUUUGGGCCGGUCUUCGUGCGGCCGCCUUAACUGGUGGCCGCCCGUGGCUGGCUGGUUUACUUUGAGCAAAUCAGAGUGCUCAGCACAGGCGUUUCGCCGGAAUGUUCGUGCAUGGAAUAAUAGAAAAGGAUUUCGGUCCUCUUUUAUUGGUUUUGUGGACUGAGAUAAUGGUUAACAGAGACGAACGGGGGCAUUCGUAUUGCUGCGUGAGAGGUGAAAUUCUUGGACCGCAGCAGGACGGACUACAGCGAAAGCAUUUGCCAAGCGCUGUCUUCAUUAAUCAAGAACGAAAGUYAGAGGUUCGAAGGCGAUCAGAUACCGCCCUAGUUCUGACCGUAAACGAUGCCAACUAGCGAUCCGCCGGCGGCUCUACGGCCCUGGUGGGGAGCUUCCCGGAAACGAAAGUCUUCCGGUUCCGGGGGAAGUAUGGUUGCAAAGCUGAAACUUAAAGGAAUUGACGGAAGGGCACCACCAGGAGUGGAGCCUGCGGCUUAAUUUGACUCAACACGGGAAAACUCACCCGGCCCGGACACCGUGAGGAUUGACAGAUUGAUAGCUUUUUCAUGAUUCGGUGGUUGGUGGUGCAUGGCCGUUCUUAGUUCGUGGAUCGAUUUGUCUGGUUUAUUCCGAUAACGAGCGAGACUCCAGCCUACUAACUAGUGCGGGCAUUGCUUCUGUGCUUGUCACUUCUUAGAGGGAUUGGCUGCGUCUAGCGGCACGAAACGGAGCAAUAACAGGUCUGUGAUGCCCUUAGAUGUCCGGGGCUGCACGCGCGCUACACUGGCAAAGGCAGCGUGCUUGUCCGCCUCCGAAAGGAGCCGGUAAACCCUUGAAAAUUUGCCGUGAUUGGGAUCGGAAAUUGCAAUUAUUUUCCGUGAACGAGGAAUUCCUAGUAAGUGCGAGUCAUCAGCUCGCGUUGAUUACGUCCCUGCCCUUUGUACACACCGCCCGUCGCUGCCUAGAACUGAGCCAUUUCGAGAAUAUUCGGGAUCGCUGGUUGCGGGUCCUUCGGGGCACGCCUCUGGCAAGAGAACGAACAGUAAUCGCAGUGGCUUGAACCGGGC